This 2166-nucleotide long non-coding RNA is filed under the name Anthonomus grandis grandis. RNAcentral describes it as "uncharacterized LOC126737513". Lineage: Eukaryota; Metazoa; Arthropoda; Insecta; Coleoptera; Curculionidae. The record is from RNAcentral.
GAAUUUUAAGAAAAUGCGUUUUAAUGCAAUUCAUUUUCCUAAUAAGGAAAAAGUCUUCUGAAGUGGAGUAGGUGUAUGAUAGAUAGAAAAGUUAGUAGGGGGCAGUCUUUUCUCCACUAAUAAAAUGCUAAUUUUUAUUUCAGGAGUGAUGAUGCAUUUCGGCAAGCGUUCUUGCCAUCAUCAAACUCUAAAAUGUAUUACAAACAGUUCAAAAACAUUUACGAAAAUUUUUUCCGACAUAUGAUUUAAAAAAAUACAUACUAAAAUUGUCUUAGAACAUUGAAAGGCUAGAAUUAGUAAACAACAACUGUUUGAGUCCAACAUGUGCACAGGGGCAAGAGGGGUGUUUUGUUUACAAACAUAUUUGCCGAUUCUCUGUUGUCAAGUCGACGCAAAUUUCCAACGGAAGAAAUUUUUAGCUAUAUUUUAACAACCAUUAUAACGUUAAUUUAACUUAUUUGUGUUGUAUUUUAUAGGAAAAUUUAAAAUAAAAAGAAUAAAUACUACAAUUAACCUAUUUUAAGAAUAAAUAUAAUAUCCUUAAGCAAAAAAAAAAACAAAAUUACUAACAUUGUUAUCCCUAAAACUGCUUCUGAAAAAUUUAAAGCGACAACACCGGAGCUUAAGUGUCUGAGCCAUACGCGUAGUGUCAUCUGUCAAACGGCUUUUUGUUUAUUUUCGGGAUUCGUGUAUUUUCUUUAAUUUUCGGUUUCAAAAGGAAAAAGGCCACAUUUUAGUGUUUUUUUAAAUUGCUAGGAUGGGAAAAACUUGUGUCGCUUGUGUCGCUUGUGCCGCAUCAUGAUAAAAAGGUGAUUCAAGCCGAUCUUUUCACAAGUAAGUACCGAUACUUUCAUAACAUCACAUCAUGGGGUAACCAUCAUCAUAAACGUAGAAUAGGGGAUCUUAUAGAUAAACCUAAUAAAAACUUGAAUGUGAAAGUGUGCGUAAAAUACCAAAAUAUUUAUAUUUUUAAAUCUAAAUAUUUUUUUGAACAUAUUCAUCUAUCAAUAGGCUAUAAAAAUAUAAAACUAGAAUUUUGUCCCUGGUUUUAUUACAGGAUUUUAUGUUUUUUUGUUGUUGUUUUGGCAGAAAGAAGGCAUACCUAAUAACCAUGUACCUAUCUAUGUAUAGUUAUGUUUUUUUAAUAUAGACAUUAGGUAGAUAGAUGAAAUUACUAAUUUUUUAUUGCCGUUAAAGAAUUUUGAAAAUUAUUUAGAUAUUGAUAUCUAUGUAUAAAGUUAAUUUUGUCUUUCCCUAAAAUUUGGUCGAUAUUUUUUUUUGUUUUACCAUAUUGCAACUUACAAUAAUAUAUAUAGAAAUUGGCACCACAUAUUAAUUCAUUACUGUAAUUUUUUUUGCUUUUUGAUUAAAUAUCAAAUACUUAUUAUAGAUUGCCUAAUAUAUGCCCAAAGGGAACAAUGGAUUUCAUUAAUGGAAAUCAACACAAUUAAACAGAACAUGUUUGUUCAGAUCACAUCCUUAGAAGUGAUUUCUUAUAUAAGGAAGAUAAUAUUAUCAGUAGCCAGACUUAAACAGAUUAAAAAAAUCAGCUCUACCUCAAAGGAUUUCUGAUGCACUGGUUAAAAACACAGCAGCUGAUAAUUCAGUUAAUUUACCAAGUGAUUUACCCUUCACAGCUGCAGGGGUAGCUUUCCUGAAGAGUGCAAAAACUUCUUUAGCUUCCAAAAUGGUAUAUAGUACAAACAGUGAAGCUGAUAUAGACAAAUCUGAUCAUUCAUCAUCAACAAUAACUGCAUCUGAGAUUAAUAGUUCUACAGUAACCGUGGAGUCUAGGUCAACAAUUACUAUUUCUCAUCCAAGCCGUUUUUGUUUAACUGCUACAUAUUGCCUGACUCUGCCAAGGAAAAGGGUAAAAUCAAAAUGAUAUCCUGAGGACCUAAGCACUGAUGAUUCCACCGUUUCAAAAGCUAAAUCACUUGUUACCAAAUUAUGGAAAAAAAAUAAAGAGCAAAAAAUUAAAAUUCGAAGAUUGCAAUAAACAAAUUUGCCCCAAAGAAAUUGAAUUAGAUGUCUCAAGUUAUUAUUAAAAUACUUAAGAAAUAAUAACAUGAUUUUCGAAAAAGCCCAACAUACUACAUAUUUUAUUUGACUUGUAAAAGUACUUGUUUGUAUAUUUUUACUAAUAAACUAUUUAAUCUAAUCUAU